GCGAAAAUAGCUCAGUUGGUUAGAGCAUCUGACUGUGGCUCAGAAGGUCGCCGGUUCGAAUCCGGUUUUUCGCCCCA
Molecule: transfer RNA, 77 nt
Filed under: Planctomycetota bacterium
Lineage: Bacteria; Pseudomonadati; Planctomycetota
Description: tRNA-His
Rfam family: tRNA
About the family: Transfer RNA (tRNA) molecules are approximately 80 nucleotides in length. Their secondary structure includes four short double-helical elements and three loops (D, anti-codon, and T loops).
Source: RNAcentral